Molecule: long non-coding RNA, 651 nt
Organism: Mastomys coucha (southern multimammate mouse)
Lineage: Eukaryota; Metazoa; Chordata; Mammalia; Rodentia; Muridae
Exons: 4
Source: RefSeq, a predicted model, not a curated record
GACUUUUGGGUUGCUUUUAUGGCCCACUUAGUUUAAUAAGGGAUACCUGUUUCACACUUGGACUGGAAAUCUCCUUUGGAUGAGAGUGAGCUCAAGAGUGGUUCCUUCCUUAGAAUUCUCUCCCAUCAUUGUGCCCUCCUCUUCUUCUCAGAGAAGGCCAUCUGACUGCAAAGGCUUGGAGAACAAAGGGGCACACAGAAUUUGUAGAUAGCAUCACCAAAGAAGCAACAGAUGAGAAGACUGAAAACAUGGACAGUACUUGCCUGUGGCCAAGGAGAGUGCUCUAGAUAGGAAGCAGCAUUCCAAGAAGAGGAAACAACAGGUACAAAAUCAUGAUGAUCUACUAAAGCAUGAUGUAUCCAAAGGAGGCAAUAAUUCUCUCCAGCACCUGCUCCAGCUGAUUAAGUAUACAAAGUUCAUGUUGCAUCACAGAAGAGGAGGCAGAGAGAGUAUAAGAACAAGAGGCCAGGAAGAUCGACUACCUGAACAAGACUGACAAGCGAUCAAGCCAGUCAAAAUUUCAACAGAUUCUUAAAAGCAACUGUGCCCAACUCCAUGAGGGUAGCAUACUCUUAACUGGAAAGGAAUUGUGGGGAAACUGGUGCAGGCAAAUUGUCCAGUGGGGAUGAAUAGAAGUUUCCUAUUAUUGCA